Molecule: long non-coding RNA, 7292 nt
Filed under: Cucumis sativus (cucumber)
Lineage: Eukaryota; Viridiplantae; Streptophyta; Magnoliopsida; Cucurbitales; Cucurbitaceae
Description: long non-coding RNA (CSAT_LNC000222)
Source: RNAcentral
UCGGACCACCCAGUAGCUAGAUGUGGACUUUCGUGCCUCGGACCCCGUUCCAAGUCCGAUCGUCCCUUUCUAGGCCAUUGCGCCUUUCUUCGGCGUUUUGGGACGGAACCAAGAAACCGAGUCUGGGGCGUCACCGUUCGGCUUUUGUGGGCAAGAAACUUCGAGAAUCGGACCACCCAGUAGCUAGAUGUGGACUUUCGAGGCCUCGGACCCCGUUCCAAGUCCGACCGUCCCUUUCUAGGCCAUUGCGCCUUUCUUCGGCGUUUUGGGACGGAACCAAGAAACCGAGUCUGGGGCGUCACCGUUCGGCUUUUGUGGGCAAGAAACUUCGAGAAUCGGACCACCCAGUAGCUAGAUGUGGACUUUCGAGGCCUCGGACCCCGUUCCAAGUCCGUCGUCCCUUUCUAGGCCAUUGUGCCUUUCUUCGGCGUUUUGGGACGGAACCAAGAAACCGAGUCUGGGGCGUCACCUUCGGCUUUUGUGGGCAAGAAACUUCAAGAAUCGGACCACCCAGUACUAGAUGUGGACUUUCGAGGCCUCGACCCCGUUCCAAGUCCGACCGUCCCUUUCUAGGCCAUUGUGCCUUUUUCGGCGUUUUGGGACGGAACCAAGAAACCGAGUCGGGCGUCACCGUUCGGCUUUUGUGGGCAAGAAAUUCGAGAUCGGACCACCCAGUAGCUAGAUGUGGACUUUCGAGGCCUGGACCCCGUUCCAAGUCCGACCGUCCCUUUCUAGGCCAUUGUCCUUUCUUCGGCGUUUUGGACGGAAACCAAGAAACCGAGUUGGGGCGUCACCGUUCGGCUUUGUGGGCAAGAAACUUCGAGAUCGGACCACCCAGUAGCUAGAUGUGGACUUUCGAGGCCUCGGACCCCGUUCCUGUUGGAAUUUUUUGUCCUAAAACUCGUAGUUUGUAAAUCAUAUUCUGUUCAAUAAAGUUGUUAUUGAGAAAUUAAAUAUUAUAAUCUUAAAUCCAAUAAAUCAAGUUCCAAGGCUAUUUUUUGAAUAAACUUGAACUUUAUGUGUAAACAUAAACGUGGAUCAAGUUCGAGUAUAUAGCCUAAAUAGUCUAUAGUAUAUGAAAUAAAGGUUGGGCGCCUUAUUUAGAGAAACUAUGGAUGCGGCCCACUUUGUAGUACAAACGAGUGAUCCUAAUCGUUCAUGUAGAGACAUGAAAGUGGGGGCAUCCUAUGUAAAAUGUUUACAUAAGACUGAACCAUGAAUUAGUCAUUUUUACGUUAUAACACCGUUUACUGUUUAAAACUGACUAUCUCAAUUAUUGAUGACCUAGGUAACUUAGUCUUAAUCCUGAGUUAACUAUGAACUCCUGUUCACACGAGAUUAUCCUUAGAUCUGCAUAGGUGAGGGCAGCUCAUCAGCGUUGGCCCAAUAAGCCUCCCAUUUCAGGGGUAAGAUCGGUGGAUAGCUGGGAACAUAGGGUACAAGAUGGAAUUCACUCCUACCCGCUUUAGGGUUAGUAGAUAGGUUGCUCUCUUAAGCACUGAAUCCAAGUCUUGAACAAGGGGCCCCACCCUCUCAUUGGCCCGAGAGGGAUUAAGUUUAUAGGUUGAACCUUAAACCAAUUGUUCAAUAGUGGAUUAGUGGGACUUAAGGAGCAAGAUGUAAUCUUGGGGGUAAAACGGUAUUUUGACCCAGCCAAGGUUACGAGCAACCUGUGAAGGAUUAACUUACUGAUUAUGGUUUUAUCAAAUGGACACAAAUAUAUCUAUAGUGAGGGGAGUGCAACUACGGGACUUUAGUGGAAUGACCCGUUAGUUAACGAAUGUUGAUUAACUCGGUUUAAAAGAGUUUAGCUAGUUAAUCUUGAAUCGUUGGAGCCCAUGAUCUAUAGGUCCAUUAGGUUCCUCUGCUAGCUCAUAUGGAUUAAACUUAGAACAGUGUGAUGAAAUAAGUCGAAUUGUUCGAAUUGGGAGAAGAAAGGGAAACCGACAAAUAUAGUGAUAUAGUCGUCGGUCUUCUAAUUAGAAAUAGAGCUUUAUGUUUUACAUACUAUAAGUAUGAAUGCGGAUUCAUACUAAGAAGCUCGGAAUUGGUCAAAAAUAGUAAAAAGUCAAAAUGUUGACUUUUGACUUUGAAAAGUCAAACUUUGACCGGCCUUAUAUUCAAAUGUGAUUUGAAUUUUGGAAAAAUGAAUGCGGAUUCAUGCUCGGGAGGUUGGAAUUAGUCAAGACGGACAAAAUGGUAAAAAGUCAAAAUAUUGACUUUUGACUAAGAAAAGUCAAAGUUUGACUUUUGACUAGAAAUAUCUAAUGACCAUUUUACCCUUGGACUAAGUUAGUGGGAAAAUCCAACAUUUUGUUGGAUAAUCCCACUAACUCUUAGUGGGAUAUGUGGCUAUAUGAGAUAUAGACACCUAGCCCACUAAGUUCCACUAAUUGUUAGUGGAACAUUAGGUGUUGAGAUUUGGCAAAUGAAUUGCAUGCAUUUUUGCAUGUAAUUAGGCUAUAAAUAGAGGUGUUUUCAAAUGUUGAAGGACUUUUGCCUCUUUUAUCAUUUUCAUCAUCUCAACAAAAGAAAAAAGAAAGCUUCCAAUCUCAUUUUAUCUCCAUUACUUUCUACACCAAAAUUGGGUCCCACAACCCGGUUCUUUGUCUAGAGGAUAGCAGUUGAGUACUAGUGGUGGUCUCGGUAGAAUUGGUAAGAAGACAUCAAACCUUUUGAAAGCUUCAAAGGUAAUACUUCUUAAAACCCUAAUUUGAUUAGUUUAUGGUUACAUGUUAAUUGUGGCAAUUAGGGUAGAAAUUCGAUUCUUUUUCCGCUGUGCAUGACUUAGUUCUAUCAUGUGGUAUCAGAGCAUGCUUCAUUUUUACCCAAUUGCAUGUGGUGGGUUCAUAUUUAUUAGAUAAAUUUUGGUUUGAACUAAAAUGGAUAUAUUAUGAUUUUGGCUCUAGAUUAAGUGUUUUUGUUCUAAUUAUUGUAAUUAGCCUUGUUAAUGGCUUAUUUUUAUUGUUGCAAAGUGUUUGUAAUUUUUUAAAAAAAUAAAAAAAGUCAUUAGAGUUGAAGUUAGGCUGUAAUUGGUUCAACCGGGUGAGAGAAUUGAAAAAAAUGAAGAAAAGAAGGUCACAGACCCGAAAACCCGCUUGAGACCCGCUUCGCGACCCGCACGCGCCGCGCGCCCGCAUGCCGCGCGCCCUCCUGCGCCGCGCGCCCGCUGCCGCCCGUGCGCCCCCUGUGCCCGCGCGCCUGCCUUCGCCGACCGUGUGGGCCGGUUCAAGCGGUUUCGGUUGGUUUUUCAGCCGGUUCGAAGUUUUUGGGAGUGGUUCUGUACUACACCAAAGUAAUUAUGUAAUAAUUUAGUACUUAGCUUAAUUUAGGAGCCAAAAAUCAGUCCAUUUUAGGGUGUUUUUUUUAUUUAUGCAUGUGAUGUAUGAUUAAAUUACUUUAAAUUUGUAUGUGCAUUUUGAAUGUCAUAUAGAUUUAAAAUCCCACCAUAGGUUAACAUGUUCAUGCAUUAAAAUGUAUGAUAUAAAGGUUAUAUUGUAUUGUAUGCAUGUUAAUUGAUUAAUAUGGAAAUUAAUUAAUAUUGAUUAAUUAAUUAAGUUAUUCUUGAUUAAAUAUGAUUUAAUCAAAUUAAUUAAUUAUUGUUUGAUUUAAUUUAAUUAAAGUUAAAUAAAUUAAAAUCCAUAUUAAUUGAUUUUUUAUAAGUUAUAUAUUGAUAAAAUGAUUGAUUAAGUUUAAAAGUUUUUAUAAGUGUUAUAAAAUAAAUUAGACUUUUAAAAUCAAUAACAAAGAUUAAAUGCAUGCUCACUUAGGUUAAACAUAUCUUCCAUUUUUCAUAGAAAUAGGUCGAUAUCUUGUAAAACUGGUUACAAAAGGCUCACCUGGUUCAAUCUUGUCAACAAGUCAGAUAAGAUGACUAAGGUUGGAGGUUCUUAAGUUGACGGUUUACGGAACACCUCCUACCUGGAGAUCGUAAUCAGUUCUUGAGCCUAGUUAACCUAGUUUUAUGAGCAUUCGUGAGAGGUGUGAGGUAAUAAAAAUUUUAUCACCUAGACAUCAUAGGUUAAAAUCCUGUAUAAUGGUUAUACUUGGAUGUUUUAUCUAGACUUAAGAUUUGUUUAAGUUAGCCUAAAUAUAAAUCUUGAAGCUUGGAUUACCCUUUUUUUUCUUUAGAACACUUCAACUAGAGAAAAAUAAUGUAUUUUAGCUCUAGUGUCCCUAAGAGUUCACACCGUGAGGUCCAUGCAGGGCUUUGUGCCGUGCAUAGGAGCGGCCUCCCUUCGGAGAGUGUUUGCAUGGAUCAAAAUCAAGGUGAAUAGGGGAAGUAGUUCAUAGUAAGUGGGUGAGGAUUUGUGGCAGCACAUCCCACGGUCUCUUCCAUUAGGUCGCACCGUGAGAUUUCUAUAAUAUGCCUGCUUGUCUGCCCUGGAGCGACGUUCCCUUCGGAGGGUUGUAUUAUAGGAUUCGGAACACCGCGAACUCCAAAUCUGGAUAGGUUUUCUUAGAUUAGUUUUCAUAAAUGAUUCUAAUCUAUGAAAUCUGAAAAUGGUGGGUAACACUUACAAGAAUUACUAAGUUGUUAGUAUAUUCUUGACUAAAGUAGCGAUAACUAAGUGCUAUAAAGAAUAAGAGUUAUUCUAGAGAUAGCAUCUAGUCAAGAUUGUCUUGGUUCAAAGGAGGAAUAAUCAACUACCCUUCGGAGAAGGUUGUUCUAAACCUUUGAAAUAUUGUUGCAAAAUACAAAUAAUGAAAGGGUACAUUAUUAGUAAUUGCUAAAUUAGAUUGGAUAUUUUUUAUGAUUAUAGUUUUUUCCUAAAAAAUAUGUUUGUUUUUCAGCAUGAAUAGCUCAAUAGUUCAACUUUUAGCUUCCGAAAAACUUAAUGGCGAUAAUUAUGCGGCUUGGAAAUCAAAUCUUAACACAAUACUAGUGUGUUGACGAUUUAAGAUUUGUCUUAACUGAGGAAUGUCCUCAAAACCCUGCCUCUAAUGCUAACCGAACUAGUCGGGAUGCAUAUGAUCGAUGGAUAAAAGCUAAUGAAAAAGCUCCUGUCUACAUUCUUGCCAGCAUGUCUGAUGUGGGACGUCACCGUUCGGCUUUUGUGGGCAAGAAACUUCGAGGUCGGACCACCCCGUAGCUAGAUGUGGACUUUCGAGGCCUCGGACCCCGUUCCAAGUCCGGUCGUCCCUUUCUAGGCCAUUGUGCCUUUCUUCGGCGUUUUGGGACGGAUCCAAGAAACCGAGUCUGGGCGUCACCGUUCGGCUUUUGUUGGCAAGAAACUUCGAGAUCGGACAACCCAGUAGCUAGAUGUCGACUUUCGAGGCCUCGGACCCCGUUCCAAGUCGGUCGUCCCUUUCUAGGCCAUUGUGCCUUUCUUCGGCGUUUUGGGACGGAACCAAGAAACCGAGUCUGGGCGUCACCGUUCGGCUUUUGUUGCAAGAAACUUCGAGAUCGGACCACCCAGUAGCUAGAUGUGGACUUUCGAGGCCUCGGACCCCGUUCCAAGUCCGGUCGUCCCUUUCUAGGCCAUUGUGCCUUUCUUCGGCGUUUUGGGACGGAACCAAGAAACCGAGUCUGGGGCGUCACCGUUCGGCUUUUGUGGGCAAGAAACUUCGAGAUCGCACCACCCAGUAGCUAGAUGUGACUUUCGAGGCCUCUGACCGCGUUCCAAGUCCGGUCGUCCCUUUCUAGGCCAUUGUGCCUUUCUUCGGCAUUUUGGGACGGAAACAAGAAACCGAGUCUGGGGCGUCACCGUUCGGCUUUUGUGGGCAAGAAACUUCAAGAUCGGACCACCCAGUAGCUAGAUGUGGACUUUCGAGGCCUCGGACCCCGUUCCAAGUCCGGUCGUCCCUUUCUAGGCCAUUGUGCCUUUCUUCGUGCGUUUUGCGCGGAACCAAGAAACCGAGUCUGGGGCGUCACCGUUCGGCUUUUGUGGGCAAGAAACUUUGAGAUCGGACCACCCAGUAGCUAGUUGUGGACUUUCGAGGCCUCGGACCCCGUUCCAAGUCUAGUCGUCCAUUUCUAGACCAUUGUGCCUUUCUUCGGCGUUUUGGCACGGAACCAAGAAAUUGAGUCUGGGGCGUCACCGUUCGGCUUUUAUGGGCAAGAAACUUCGAUAUCGGACCACCCAGUAGCUAGAUGUGGACUUUCGAGGGCUCGGACCCCGUUCCAAGUCUAGUCGUCCAUUUCUAGGCCAUUGUGCCUUUCUUCGGCGUUUUGGGACGGAACCAAGAAACCGAGUCUGGGGCGUCACCGUUCGGCUUUUGUUGGCAAGAAACUUCAAGAUCGGACACCCCAGUAGGUAGAUGUGGACUUUCGAGGCCUCGGACCCCGUUCCAAGUCCGGUCGUCCCUUUCUAGGCCAUUGUGCCUUUCUUCGGCGUUCUGGGACGGAACAAAGAAACCGAGUCUGGGGCGUCACCGUUCGGCUUUUCUGGGCAAGAAACUUCAAGAUCGGACCAGCCAGUAUCUAGAUGUGGACUUUCGAGGCCUCGGACUCCGUUCCAAGUCCGGUCGUGUCCCUUUCUUUAGUGUUUUAGGACGGAACCAAGAAACCGAGUCUAGGGCGUCACCGUUCGGCUUUUGUGGGCAAGAAACUUCGAGAUCACUCAGAAUCGGACCACGCAGUAGCUAGAUGUGGACUUUCGAGGGCUCGGACCCCGUUCCAAGUCUAGUCGUCCAUUUCUAGGCCAUUGUGCCUUUCUUCGGCGUUUUGGGACAGAACCAAGAAACCGAGUCUGAGGCGUUACUGUUCGGCUUUUGUGGGCAUGAAACUUCGAGAUCGGACCACCCAGUAGCCAGAUGUGGACUUUUGAGGCCUCGGACCCCGUUCCAAGUCCGGUCGUCCCUUUCUAAGCCAUUGUGCCUUUCUUCGGCGUUUUGGGACGGAAGCAAGAAACCGAGUCAGGGGCGUCACCGUUCGGCUUUUGUGGGCAAGAAACUUCAAGAUCGGACCACCCAGUAGCUAGAUGUGGACUUUCGAGGCCUCAGACCCCGUUCCAAGUCCAGUCGUACCUUUCUAGGCCAUUGUCCCUUUCUUCGCCGUUUUGGGACGGAACCAAGAAACCGAGUCUAGAGCAUCACCGUUUGGCUUUAGUGGGCAAGAAACUUCGAGAUCGGACCACCCAGUAGCUAGAUGUGGACUUUCGAGGCCUCGGACCCCGUUCCAAGUCCGGUCGUACCUUUCUAAGCCAUUGUGCCUUUCUUCGGCGUUUUGGGACGGAACCAAGAAACCGAGUCUAGGGCGUCACCGUUCGACUUUUGUGGGCAAGAAACUUCGAGAUCGGACCACCCAGUAGCUAGAUGUGGACUUUCGAGGCCUCGGACACCGUUCCAAG